GAAAUGCGAUAAGUAGUGUGAAUUGCAGAAUUCAGUGAAUCAUCGAAUCUUUGAACGCACAUUGCGCCCCUUGGUAUUCCAUGGGGCAUGCCUGUUCGAGCGUCAUUUGUACCUUCAAGCUUUGCUUGGUGUUGGGUGUUUGUCUCGCCUCUGCGUGUAGACUCGCCUCAAAACAAUUGGCAGCCGGCGUAUUGAUUUUGGAGCGCAGUACAUCUCGCGCUUUGCACUCAUAACGACGACGUCCAAAAGUACAUUUUUACACUCUUGACCUCGGAUCAGGUAGGGAUACCCGCUGAACUUAAGC
Molecule: unclassified non-coding RNA, 304 nt
Filed under: plant metagenome
Description: partial contains 5.8S ribosomal RNA, internal transcribed spacer 2, and large subunit ribosomal RNA
Rfam family: 5.8S ribosomal RNA (bases 1-105)
Source: RNAcentral